Molecule: ribosomal RNA, 487 nt
Filed under: uncultured bacterium
Lineage: Bacteria
Description: bacterial SSU rRNA
Rfam family: Bacterial small subunit ribosomal RNA
Source: RNAcentral
AGUGAACGCUGGCGGCAGGCCUAACACAUGCAAGUCGAGCGGCAGCGCGUCCGACCACCCUCGGGUGGUCGGAUGGCGGCGAGCGGCGGACGGGUGAGGAAUGCAUCGGAAUCUGCCUCGUUGUGGGGGAUAACGUAGGGAAACUUACGCUAAUACCGCAUACGACCUACGGGUGAAAGUGGGGGACCUUCGGGCCUCACGCGAUGAGAUGAGCCGAUGCCGGAUUAGCUAGUUGGCGGGGUAAAGGCCCACCAAGGCGACGAUCCGUAGCUGGUCUGAGAGGAUGAUCAGCCACACUGGAACUGAGACACGGUCCAGACUCCUACGGGAGGCAGCAGUCGGGAAUAUUGGACAAUGGGCGCAAGCCUGAUCCAGCAAUACCGCGUGUGUGAAGAAGGCCUGCGGGUUGUAAAGCACUUUCAGUUGGGAAGAUAAUGACGUUACCAACAGAAGAAGCACCGGCUAACUCCGUGCCAGCAGCCGCGGU